Molecule: transfer RNA, 72 nt
Filed under: Danio rerio (zebrafish)
Lineage: Eukaryota; Metazoa; Chordata; Actinopteri; Cypriniformes; Danionidae
Rfam family: tRNA
About the family: Transfer RNA (tRNA) molecules are approximately 80 nucleotides in length. Their secondary structure includes four short double-helical elements and three loops (D, anti-codon, and T loops).
Source: Rfam by way of RNAcentral
GGCUCAUUGGUCUGUGGGUAUGAUUCUCGCUUCGAUUCCAAGAGGACCUGGGUUCAAUUCCCGGAUGAGCCC